GAUUCCGGAGAGGGAGCCUGAGAAACGGCUACCACUUCUAAGGAAGGCAGCAGGCGCGUAAAUUACCCAAUCCCAAUUCGGGGAGGUAGUGACAAGAAAUAACAACCUGGGGGGCUCUGCCCUUACGGGAUUGUAAUGGGAACAAUGUAAAAACUUUAUCGAGGAACAAUUGGAGGGCAAGUCUGGUGCCAGCAGCCGCGGUAAUUCCAGCUCCAAUAGCGUAUAUUAAAGUUGUUGCAGUUAAAAAGCUCGUAGUUGAAUUUCUGCACGUGCCCGGUUGUGGCUUCGGUCAGGCCGUGGCGCGUGCAUCCGUCUGCAAACCUAGACCGGCCUUCAUUGGUCGACUAGGGGAGUAGACCUUUUACCUUGAAAAAAUUAGAGUGUUUCUAGCAGGCAAUUGCUUGAAUACAUUAGCAUGGAAUAAUAGAAUAGGACUUUUGUCCAUUUCGUUGGUUAUUGGACAUUAGUAAUGAUUAAAAGGGACAGUUGGGGGCAUUAGUAUUUAAUUGUCAGAGGUGAAAUUCUUGGAUUUAUUAAAGACUAACUUAUGCGAAAGCAUUUGCCAAGGAUGUUUUCA
This 577-nucleotide ribosomal RNA is filed under the name uncultured ciliate. Its description in RNAcentral is "SSU rRNA". It matches the Rfam family "Eukaryotic small subunit ribosomal RNA", at positions 379 to 972 of the family's 1831-position model. The record is from RNAcentral. Lineage: Eukaryota; Ciliophora.